This is a long non-coding RNA of Solenopsis invicta (red fire ant), 386 nucleotides long. RefSeq lists it as uncharacterized. The record is from RefSeq and is a predicted model, not a curated record. The transcript has 2 exons. Lineage: Eukaryota; Metazoa; Arthropoda; Insecta; Hymenoptera; Formicidae.
AAUUACUACUUUCUCACAUCUAAAUUGAUAAAUUUUUUCAUCUGUUACAGCUGCAAUUAUUUUCUUUGCAAAUAGUGCAUCAUAAAAAUGUGUUCUCUACAAAAUGGUUUGAUAUGAACUUAACACUUCUCACUGCUAUGAUAGGCGGCAUUGCCACGCACUUAGUAAUUUUGAUACAAUUUCUGUUUAUAUCUUGUAAUGGGUAUUCUACAAUUAAUUCAGAUGCAAGCUAAUCAAUGAGAUAAUUAAUCAAAUAAAAUAAAAAUAUAAUAAAUCUGAAAAAAGAAGUUAUAAACCUAAUAGCAACAAAUAGAUAGUUCAAGUCAUAGAACCGAAACGUUUACAAUGUUAACUUUUAUUGAAUAAUAAAAUGAUAUUGUAUUUUA